UGAUAAUGGGUUCUCCCUCAGGGUUUGCCGGCAGCGAGUGACAAUGGGUUCCUGCACGAACACAGAUUCUACACCAAUGGCACNAUCAACACCUGAUAAAAACGUGUUUCCAUCAAAAUAAAGGCAAAGGAGAAAAGAAGCCGAGAAGAGAAGAAGGGAGAAGGAACGUGAAACCUGAAAAUGGAAGUCCUGAAACGAAGGAGAAACGGGACCCUUAACGCACUGUGAACGGAGGAGAAGAAGCCCUAAAGUAAUGUGAACGGAGGAGAAGGAGCCUAACGUUGAUGAAACGAAGGACAGGAGCCCUAGCCACUGAUCAAACGGAGGAGAAGCGCGAAUCAAACCAACGAACAGCGCGAAGAAGCAAUNCGAAGAGUGAAAACGAGGAGCAGCACGAGGAAGCUUGGAGCGAACGUCAAAUUGGAAGCAGAGUGUAGUAGCGGGAGGAAGCAGUUUUUUAAUCCCCAUAGAUAGCGCUCCCUACAACAAGCGCUAUCUAUUUUGCUUUUAUUAUUAUAUUUUAAAAUAUUAAUUAAAAAAAUAAUAUUAAAUAGAUAUAGAUAGCGCCUUUUUAAACAAGCGCUAUCUAUGAUCAUAGUCAUAGAUAGCGCGCUUUCUAACAAGCGCUAUCUAUGCUUCUGCAUAUUAAUAGAUAGCGCUUAUUGUAAAAAGCGCUAUCUAUUGAGCGCUAUCUAUUUUCCAUUUUG
RNAcentral lists this long non-coding RNA (707 nucleotides) under Vigna radiata. RNAcentral's name for it is "long non-coding RNA (VRAD_LNC017500)". Lineage: Eukaryota; Viridiplantae; Streptophyta; Magnoliopsida; Fabales; Fabaceae. The record is from RNAcentral.